This 399-nucleotide ribosomal RNA is filed under the name uncultured bacterium. Its description in RNAcentral is "bacterial SSU rRNA". It matches the Rfam family "Bacterial small subunit ribosomal RNA", at positions 28 to 416 of the family's 1533-position model. The record is from RNAcentral.
GAUGAACGCUGGCGGCGUGCCUAAUACAUGCAAGUCGAGCGAACGGAUUAAGAGCUUGCUCUUAUGAAGUUAGCGGCGGACGGGUGAGUAACACGUGGGUAACCUGCCCAUAAGACUGGGAUAACUCCGGGAAACCGGGCUAAUACCGGAUAAUAUUUUGAACUGCAUAGUUCGAAAUUGAAAGGCGGCUUCGGCUGUCACUUAUGGAUGGACCCGCGUCGCAUUAGCUAGUUGGUGAGGUAACGGCUCACCAAGGCAACGAUGCGUAGCCGACCUGAGAGGGUGAUCGGCCACACUGGGACUGAGACACGGCCCAGACUCCUACGGGAGGCAGCAGUAGGGAAUCUUCCGCAAUGGGCGAAAGCCUGACGCAGCGACGCCGCGUGGGUGAUGAAGGCC